Molecule: ribosomal RNA, 296 nt
Filed under: uncultured bacterium
Lineage: Bacteria
Description: partial 16S ribosomal RNA
Rfam family: Bacterial small subunit ribosomal RNA
Source: RNAcentral
UUCCUACGGGACGCAGCAGUGGGGAAUAUUGCACAAUGGGGGAAACCCUCAUGCAGCGACGCCGCGUGGGUGAAGAAGUAUUUCGGUAUGUAAAGCCCUAUCAGCAGGGAAGAAGAAUGACGGUACCUGACUAAGAAGCACCGGCUAAAUACGUGCCAGCAGCCGCGGUAAUACGUAUGGUGCAAGCGUUGUCCGGAUUUACUGGGUGUAAAGGGAGCGUAGACGGCCAGACAAGUCUGAAGUGAAAAUCCAGCGCUUAACGUUGGAAGUGCUUUGGAAACUGCCGGGCUGGAGUG